GGCGAACGCUGGCGGCGUGCUUAACACAUGCAAGUCGAACGGAAAGGCCCUGCUUUUGUGGGGUGCUCGAGUGGCGAACGGGUGAGUAACACGUGAGUAACCUGCCCUUGACUUUGGGAUAACUUCAGGAAACUGGGGCUAAUACCGGAUAGGAGCUCCUGCUGCAUGGAGAGGGUUGGAAAGUUUCGGCGGUCGGGGCUGGACUCGCGGCUUAUCAGCUUGUUGGUGGGGUAGUGGCUUACCAAGGAUUGGACGGGUAGCCGGCCGUAGAGGGUGACCGGCCACAUUGGGACUGAGAUACGGCCCAGACGCCUACGGGAGGCAGCAGUGGGGAAUAUUGCACAAUGGGCGGAAGCCUGAUGCAGCAACGCCGCGUGCGGGAUGACGGCCUUCGGGUUGUAAACCGCUUUCGCCUGUGACGAAGCGUGAGUGACGGUAAUGGGUAAAGAAGCACCGGCUAACUACGUG
Molecule: ribosomal RNA, 468 nt
Filed under: uncultured bacterium
Lineage: Bacteria
Description: partial 16S ribosomal RNA
Rfam family: Bacterial small subunit ribosomal RNA
Source: RNAcentral